CACGCUGUAAACGUUGUAUACUAGGUGUUAGUGGCUUGUCCACUAGUGCCGCAGCAAACGCAUUAAGUAUACCGCCUGGGGAGUACGCCCGCAAGGGUGAAACUCAAAGAAAUUGACGGGGGCCCGCACAAGCGGUGGAGCAUGUGGUUUAAUUCGAUGAUACGCGAAGAACCUUACCUGGGCUUGAACUGUGCAUGACCGGCGUAGAGAUACGUCCUUCCUUCGGGACAUGUAUAGAGGUGC
This 243-nucleotide ribosomal RNA is filed under the name uncultured bacterium. Its description in RNAcentral is "partial 16S ribosomal RNA". It matches the Rfam family "Bacterial small subunit ribosomal RNA", at positions 796 to 1041 of the family's 1533-position model. The record is from RNAcentral.